UAAAAAUUAGUUAAUUUAUAAUAUAAGUUUGUCAAACUUAAGUAAUCUUUAUAAAGAUAUUUUUAA
Molecule: transfer RNA, 66 nt
Filed under: Allogalathea elegans
Lineage: Eukaryota; Metazoa; Arthropoda; Malacostraca; Decapoda; Galatheidae
Description: tRNA-Asp
Source: RNAcentral